RNAcentral lists this long non-coding RNA (1952 nucleotides) under Numida meleagris (helmeted guineafowl). RNAcentral's name for it is "lncRNA (ENSNMEG00000000135.1)". The record is from RNAcentral. Lineage: Eukaryota; Metazoa; Chordata; Aves; Galliformes; Numididae.
GAAUUGGUGAAUGACAACAAAGAUGAAAUAAUGGGAACUAGAAUCUCAAAUUAGCAUGAAGAGGAGAGGAGCACUGGGCAAAAUAACCUUGCUGUCACAUUUCAGCUCCAUUUGCCCAGUCUGCCUGCCUCCGUGAUCCCCUGCAGCGCCGGCUGGAGCUCUGCGGUGCGUCAAUGAGGAGCUGCUGCGGAGGAAAGAAGGAGCGGCAUGGGGAACUGGGAGCCCAGAGCAAGAAAGAAGAGGAUGAUGUUGGCUGUCAGUCUCUUGGGAUUACGUUUGGCCUUUUGGAACCCCAGUUUGCACAUUCUACAUAUGAGAUUCUAGCAGGCGAGAUAUCAACUCUUAUGAAGAAAAAAUACGUUUGGAAACCUGUAGUCAGAUUCAAAUCAGAGAUGGUUAGUUAUAUAUCUAGCAAAGCUGUUUGCCAGCCUUCUGUGCUUUGUUUAACAUGCACAUCUUUAAGUUAGAAUCACCUAAAAUCUUAGAUGAUUUUUAUUCCUCAUCAAAAUUGUGAUCAUCUUUAAUAUUACUGAAAAAUGGUUGGCAUAUUCAAGUGCAUGGAAAACUAACCAAUAUAAAAUGGGAUAUUAGUCUGCCAAGGAACUGUCAUUAUAUUCUAGUGUGUAAAGUCUACUACUUUUCAUUCCUUUGCAAUUUUAUUUCCUCUUGUUCAUUUCUACUUUUAUUAGCAGGGUGCUGUUUUUUCUGAAGACAUUUACAAUGAACAUUAUUCAGUGCUCAUGGCAAACCUUCAACCAACAGGCUUUAAUGCAGCAUGUAUCAUUAUCCCAUUAUCAAGUCAUACUUUUCUCCAUUGGCUUUUCAAGUUAUUUAUUUAUUGUUGAGAAGAGUUCCCCUCUCAAUUACUAUUUUUAAGGUGUCUUUUCAGUGUCUAUACUUACACAGUAACGUCCUAUACAGUGACUGUCAUAUUUCAGUGAUGUCCGUGGUUCUGUUAAGUAAAGUCCUAAACAUGAAUGUAUUUUGACCAGGAAAACAACCCAAGCCAACUUAAAACCUGUCUCCUUUUUAUUUUUUUUUUAUUUUACUUAAAUACGACACAGCAGAGAAUUAAGUCGUCUGAUUUGCCAUCACUUCCAAGAAGAAAGCGCAUACUGUGAAGUGGGGUUAUGAAGUUAGCUUGUCACAAAUUAAUCUGUUUUCAGCAUUGCUAAUUAGUGAUUUAUGACGUUUACCAGUCAUCAGAAAUCAGCUUAAUUCAAUAUUACUUCUGUCUCCUUAAUGUCCUUCUAUUUAUCUAUUUUUAAUUUCAGCUCAUUUAUCUGUGUGAUGGAAGUGUUUGCUAAAUCAGCUGUCUUGAGGACAUUUACCCUUUCUUUUUUUUCCCCCCACCUAAAACUCAUGGUGUCCCUCAAAAAGUCCAAGUAAUCCAUUAUAGAAAAUGAUUUUCGAGGAGGAAGAUACUUGGCAAAGAUUGCAGAAGUAUUCAUCCCUAUGCUUUAGUGAUUUCAUAGCGUGUUUCAAUUUAAUCUUAAUAUGUUUGGUCAAUAACUCUCCUCAAAAUGUUGCUAGUUUUUUCUUCUCUAUUUUUCCUGUAGGAUGGAUUCUUUUCCACUUGGUGAGUUGUUGCCAGUGGAAAUAUUAGUGGAGUUCAAAGGGGAGGAAGUGUUUGGGAGAAAUCUAUAAGUACAUUGAAAGUAAUCCUGUGUUACAAACACGUUUGAUUAAGGUUAAGAGAAAUGGCAGGGAAAACCUAGCAGAAUGCCAUGCUUUAAAAUAUCAAAAAAAAACUUUCUUUAAAUUUUUGCAUCUACCUAAAAAGACAUAACUUGAUUCAAACUGCAGAGCCCUGAAAGUUCCUCAGAUUUUAGGACGUAAUUAAUGACAAAGUUUUUGGUUAAAAACAGAGGCGGCUUUAAAAAGUAGGUUAAAAACAGCAGCAAUUGCCCUAAGUGGUAAUUUCAAUAAAUGCCAAUGGAGACAUCUUUACA